CUGAAGUGGCCGGCGCUACGGAUGGCGCGGCCGUCACCGGCGCAUGGGACGCCAGGUGCGUGGCCAGCCGCUCGAUCGUAUCGAGCCCUUCGAAC
RNAcentral lists this transfer RNA (95 nucleotides) under Pseudoduganella albidiflava. RNAcentral's name for it is "tRNA-Asp". The record is from RNAcentral. Lineage: Bacteria; Pseudomonadati; Pseudomonadota; Betaproteobacteria; Burkholderiales; Oxalobacteraceae.